RNAcentral lists this long non-coding RNA (425 nucleotides) under Lonchura striata (white-rumped munia). RNAcentral describes it as "domestica (Bengalese finch) lncRNA (ENSLSDG00000001182.1)". The record is from RNAcentral. Lineage: Eukaryota; Metazoa; Chordata; Aves; Passeriformes; Estrildidae.
AAUGCAGCAAUCAAGCCUGAUAAGCCACCUGGAAGUUUUGCUUGAGACGAUUUCUAGUGGGUUUACUGAUCCCUGUGAGCAUCAUGACUGCCUUUAGCAUUGUGGAGGAGGACUCGAGUUUCUUAUGAGGGCCCCACUUGGAAAAGCCGGCUGUGCAGAUUCAAGCCUCCGGUUCUGUUCAUGCUAUUCAAAAGCCUUUCCUCACCCUUGCUGAUUUAUUUUUAUGAUUUACAUACACUCCUGUGGAGAUUUACAGAAUGGAUUGUCUGUGCAUUGUCACGACCAAGUUGCUGUCACUGAUAUUCUGCAAAUGCUCCACUGCAAAAAAUGUUGAAGACAUACGGAUGAAAAUGUCAUUUUCUGAGUGCAGGUAAGGAUACCAAGGUUCUACACCUAGCUGCUUACAAAUCCCAAGUCUUAGCAGU